AGAGGCACAGCCUGCACCCUCUUUCCUUGUGAGGACCCUCUGUGCUGCCUGACCACCAACUGCCUUCCUCAACUUCCCAGCCCGUACCCAAGUACAAAGAGUCCUCCUGGGUGCCAGGAAGUAGGCCUCAAUGAUUCACUCAAGUCAAAGGAACCAUUCAUGAUGAGCCUUUCCAACACUGCAGCAGGGCCAGUGAGGUAGGCGUUUUGAAAACAAGGGGGCCUCCCAGCUAAGUGCCUGUUCCACCUACGGCAGCCCCCUACCCCAUGCACCCUGAAUUCUGAACAAGACAGAUGGAAAGGCUGGGCCCCGUGACUUAGCAAAGCUGGACUACGAUGGAAGGACUGGUGAGCAGAGAGACUACGGAAAACCGGCCUGGCCUUUCACUCCCCCUUCGGAGAGACCGGGCACUUGCUGCUAGCGGAUGUGUCUCCAUCCCCACAUCCUUCCUUGAUGGGCGUGGAGGCCCUGAGGUCACUCUCCCCACCUUUACCAACGGAAAAAUCGAGACUCAAGCAGAGAUGGAUGCUGGGCCUCGGGCCAAGGCCAUUCAAUCUUAAACGCGGGUCUGGAGCCCUCCAUCCCCUCACCCCGGCUCGGUCCGCGACCGGUCCGCAGUCGUUCUGCGGGAAAGGGUGACCCCUGGUGGUAAAGAGAAGCGUGGCUGCCUGUCCUAAUCCCGAGGACCCACAGACGAAAGGGCGAGGCCUGCAGAACCACCAACGCCGGCUAACUACCAUCUGCUGUUGAUGCAAGGACCUUGCAGAAAUCUGUGGCGCCCUACACAAACGGAAGAUUUUUAAAAUAAUGUACAAACAAGAUGGAAGUUGUUAUUAAAACGAUGAGCUUCUGUUUGAUUUUA
Long non-coding RNA from Hyaena hyaena (striped hyena), 862 nucleotides. RefSeq lists it as uncharacterized. The transcript has 3 exons. Lineage: Eukaryota; Metazoa; Chordata; Mammalia; Carnivora; Hyaenidae. The record is from RefSeq and is a predicted model, not a curated record.